AGCGAACGCUGGCGGCAGGCCUAACACAUGCAAGUCGAGCGCCGUAGCAAUACGGAGCGGCAGACGGGGGAGUAACACGUGGGAACGUGCCCUUUGGUUCGGAACAACCCAGGGAAACUUGGGCUAAUACCGGAUAAGCCCUUACGGGGAAAGAUUUAUCGCCGAAGGAUCGGCCCGCGUCUGAUUAGCUAGUUGGUGGGGUAAUGGCCCACCAAGGCGACGAUCAGUAGCUGGUCUGAGAGGAUGAUCAGCCUCACUGGGACUGAGACACGGCCCAGACUCCUACGGGAGGCAGCAGUGGGGAAUAUUGGACAAUGGGCGCAAGCCUGAUCCAGCCAUGCCGCGUGGGUGAUGAAGGCCCUAGGGUUGUAAAGCCCUUUCGGCGGGGAAGAUAAUGACGGUACCCGCAGAAGAAGCCCCGGCUAACUUCGCGCCAGCCGCCGCGGUAA
Molecule: ribosomal RNA, 449 nt
Filed under: uncultured bacterium
Lineage: Bacteria
Description: partial 16S ribosomal RNA
Rfam family: Bacterial small subunit ribosomal RNA
Source: RNAcentral